Molecule: long non-coding RNA, 967 nt
Filed under: Helianthus annuus (common sunflower)
Lineage: Eukaryota; Viridiplantae; Streptophyta; Magnoliopsida; Asterales; Asteraceae
Description: sRNA HanXRQr2_Chr06g0253111
Source: RNAcentral
UUUUUCUUUCCAUCCUGUCCCUCCCUCCCUCAACUGAUGCCUAAUCUCACUUCCUAUUAAGAAAUCUUCAGCCAGGAACCGUUUCCAAAUAUGCCCCCAUUCAAUUUAGGUUUUAAUGAUUUCUUCAUCAUGAAAUCAAAGGUUUAUCGGUUAUGGCAAUGAAAUCGUCGCUGGUUAAUGAUCAAUUGAAACCUAUAACAAUUAAUGGAAACCACUGAUUGAAUGCUUGCAGCAAAUUGAAUAGGGAAAUUGAUUCCAGGCCUCCACUUCAUUAAUAGGGAACGACCUUUCUUUCUCUCAGUUGUAUAAUUGAAAGUUAAAAUUGUGAAUAUAAAGAUGGUUGUUACGGAAGGUGGUGAAGAAGGUGGAAGGAUUGCAGAUUUGGUGUCUUUCAAUCUGUUGCUGAGAUACCCUAAUUUUGCUACGGACGGCAGUUGGUUGUGGUGGUAUUAGGUGGUUUUUGUGAAAGGGACGAACUUGGUUGUGGUGGUGAAUGGAAACAGCGGUGUGGAUUGAACACCGACGGUGACGGAGAAAUAGGAUUCCCACGAGUAUUUUGGUGAUCGGAUUGUUGAAGGAUUAUGUUUCGGUCGAGAGCGUAGGUUGAGGCGAUUCCAUUGGUGAUCAACAACGGCGGCGGUUAGUAUUCCGGCAUUAGGGCGGUUAUUUAUGUUUUGUAAUAAAGAUAUCUUGAAUUAUGAUAGAUUAUAUACAUUUACAAGCAAGAUCACAUUGAAUAUAUUAAGCUUUGUAUUUAUUUGACAAGAGAGAUUGAGCGUUUCUAAUGAUAAAUUCAACCUAAUUAGCGUCUGAGUUGGGGGAUUGAUUGGAGGACUCAAGUUUAUUAGUCCCUAUCACAAUGCAAACCAGCCUACCACCUGUUUGAUGAAUUGCCACAAUGAGAUCUAAUGUGAUUGAACCUGCUGUGCUAAAUUGCGAGAAAACAAUCCUGGGAAUGCUCUUUUAG